GUGGGGAAUCUUAGACAAUGGGGGAAACCCUGAUCUAGCCAUGCCGCGUGAUCGAUGAAGGCCUUAGGGUUGUAAAGAUCUUUCAGGUGGGAAGAUAAUGACUGUACCACCAGAAGAAGCCCCGGCUAACUCCGUGCCAGCAGCCGCGGUAAUACGGAGGGGGCUAGCGUUGUUCGGAAUUACUGGGCGUAAAGCGCACGUAGGCGGACCAGAAAGUCAGAGGUGAAAUCCCAGGGCUCAACCUUGGAACUGCCUUUGAAACUCCUGGUCUUGAGGUCGAGAGAGGUGAGUGGAAUUCCGAGUGUAGAGGUGAAAUUCGUAGAUAUUCGGAGGAACACCAGUGGCGAAGGCGGCUCACUGGCUCGAUACUGACGCUGAGGUGCGAAAGCGUGGGGAGCAAACAGGAUUAGAUACCCGAGUAGUCC
RNAcentral lists this ribosomal RNA (425 nucleotides) under uncultured bacterium. RNAcentral describes it as "partial 16S ribosomal RNA". It matches the Rfam family "Bacterial small subunit ribosomal RNA", at positions 354 to 796 of the family's 1533-position model. The record is from RNAcentral.